Molecule: ribosomal RNA, 497 nt
Filed under: uncultured bacterium
Lineage: Bacteria
Description: partial 16S ribosomal RNA
Rfam family: Bacterial small subunit ribosomal RNA
Source: RNAcentral
GAUGAACGCUGGCGGCGUGCCUAAUACAUGCAAGUCGAGCGAACAGACGAGGAGCUUGCUCCUCUGACGUUAGCGGCGGACGGGUGAGUAACACGUGGAUAACCUACCUAUAAGACUGGGAUAACUUCGGGAAACCGGAGCUAAUACCGGAUAAUAUAUUGAACCGCAUGGUUCAAUAGUGAAAGACGGUUUUGCUGUCACUUAUAGAUGGAUCCGCGCCGCAUUAGCUAGUUGGUAAGGUAACGGCUUACCAAGGCAACGAUGCGUAGACGACCUGAGAGAGUGAUCGGCCACACUGGAACUGAGACACGGUCCAGACUCCUACGGGAGGCAGCAGUAGGGAAUCUUCCGCAAUGGGCGAAAGCUUGACGGAGCAACGCCGCGUGAGUGAUGAAGGUCUUCGGAUCGUAAAACUCUGUUAUUAGGGAAGAACAAAUGUGUAAGUAACUAUGCACGUCUUGACGGUACCUAAUCAGAAAGCCACGGCUAACUACGUG